This 498-nucleotide ribosomal RNA is filed under the name uncultured bacterium. RNAcentral describes it as "partial 16S ribosomal RNA". It matches the Rfam family "Bacterial small subunit ribosomal RNA", at positions 30 to 523 of the family's 1533-position model. The record is from RNAcentral.
AUUGAACGCUGGCGGCAUGCCUUACACAUGCAAGUCGAACGGUAACAGGUCUUCGGAUGCUGACGAGUGGCGGACGGGUGAGUAAUACAUCGGAACGUGCCUAGUAGUGGGGGAUAACUCCUCGAAAGAGUGGCUAAUACCGCCUGAGAUCUACGGAUGAAAGCAGGGGAUCGCAAGACCUUGUGCUACUAGAGCGGCCGAUGGCAGAUUAGGUAGUUGGUGGGAUAAAAGCUUACCAAGCCGACGAUCUGUAGCUGGUCUGAGAGGACGAUCAGCCACACUGGGACUGAGACACGGCCCAGACUCCUACGGGAGGCAGCAGUGGGGAAUUUUGGACAAUGGGCGAAAGCCUGAUCCAGCAAUGCCGCGUGCAGGAUGAAGGCCUUCGGGUUGUAAACUGCUUUUGUACGGAACGAAAAGCCCCGGGUUAAUACCCUGGGGUCAUGACGGUACCGUAAGAAUAAGCACCGGCUAACUACGUGCCAGCCGCCGCCGUAA